ACGUACACUCCUACGGGAGGCAGCAGUGGGGAAUAUUGGACAAUGGGCGCAAGCCUGAUCCAGCCAUGCCGCGUGAGUGAUGAAGGCCCUAGGGUUGUAAAGCUCUUUCACCGGUGAAGAUAAUGACGGUAACCGGAGAAGAAGCCCCGGCUAACUUCGUGCCAGCAGCCGCGGUAAUACGAAGGGGGCUAGCGUUGUUCGGAUUUACUGGGCGUAAAGCGCACGUAGGCGGACUAUUAAGUCAGGGGUGAAAUCCCGGGGCUCAACCCCGGAACUGCCUUUGAUACUGGUAGUCUUGAGUGCGAGAGAGGUGAGUGGAAUUCCGAGUGUAGAGGUGAAAUUCGUAGAUAUUCGGAGGAACACCAGUGGCGAAGGCGGCUCACUGGCUCGAUACUGACGCUGAGGUGCGAAAGCGUGGGGAGCAAACAGGAUUAGAAACCCGUGUAGUCCCAUGA
Molecule: ribosomal RNA, 455 nt
Filed under: uncultured organism
Description: partial 16S ribosomal RNA
Rfam family: Bacterial small subunit ribosomal RNA
Source: RNAcentral